Molecule: ribosomal RNA, 480 nt
Filed under: uncultured bacterium
Lineage: Bacteria
Description: bacterial SSU rRNA
Rfam family: Bacterial small subunit ribosomal RNA
Source: RNAcentral
AUUGAACGCUGGCGGAAUGCUUUACACAUGCAAGUCGAACGGUAGAGGGGGCAACCCCUUGAGAGUGGCGAACGGGUGAGUAAUAUAUCGGAACGUGCCCAGUCGUGGGGGAUAACGUAGCGAAAGUUACGCUAAUACCGCAUACGAUCUAAGGAUGAAAGCGGGGGACCGUAAGGCCUCGCGCGAUUGGAGCGGCCGAUAUCAGAUUAGGUAGUUGGUGGGGUAAAGGCUCACCAAGCCAACGAUCUGUAGCUGGUCUGAGAGGACGACCAGCCACACUGGAACUGAGACACGGUCCAGACUCCUACGGGAGGCAGCAGUGGGGAAUUUUGGACAAUGGACGCAAGUCUGAUCCAGCCAUUCCGCGUGCAGGAUGAAGGCCCUCGGGUUGUAAACUGCUUUUGUACGGAACGAAAAGGUUUGUCUUAAUACGAUGAGCUCAUGACGGUACCGUAAGAAUAAGCACCGGCUAACUACGUG